Molecule: transfer RNA, 68 nt
Filed under: Diplodiscus nigromaculati
Lineage: Eukaryota; Metazoa; Platyhelminthes; Trematoda; Plagiorchiida; Diplodiscidae
Description: tRNA-Glu
Source: RNAcentral
GUCGAUGAGGUGUUGUGGGCAUAACAAUUUUUCGUGUUGUAGGCAGUAUUUUUAUGUACUUUUCGAUA